This 293-nucleotide ribosomal RNA is filed under the name uncultured bacterium. Its description in RNAcentral is "partial 16S ribosomal RNA". It matches the Rfam family "Archaeal small subunit ribosomal RNA", at positions 455 to 747 of the family's 1478-position model. The record is from RNAcentral.
GUGUCAGCCGCCGCGGUAAUACCCGCGCCACAAGUGGUCAUCGCGAUUAUUGGGCCUAAAGCGUCCGUAGCCGGUUUAGCAAAUUCUUUGUGAAAUCGUCUCGCCUAACGGGACGACGUGCAGAGAACACUACUAAACUCGAGACCGGGAGGGGUUAGCAGUAUUCCUAGGGGACCGGUAAAAUGGUAUAAUCCUAGGAAGACUACCGAUAGCGAAGGCAGCUAACCAGAACGGAUCUGACGGUGAGGGACGAAAGCUAGGGGAGCGAACCGGAUUAGAAACCCCAGUAGUCC